RNAcentral lists this ribosomal RNA (301 nucleotides) under uncultured bacterium. Its description in RNAcentral is "partial 16S ribosomal RNA". It matches the Rfam family "Bacterial small subunit ribosomal RNA", at positions 509 to 807 of the family's 1533-position model. The record is from RNAcentral.
CAGUCGCCACGGGAAUACGAAGGGUGCAAGCGUUACUCGGAAUUACUGGGCGUAAAGCGUGUGUAGGUGGUUGUUUAAGUCUGUCGUGAAAGCCCUGGGCUCAACCUGGGAAUUGCGAUGGAUACUGGGCGACUAGAGUGCGGUAGAGGAUAGUGGAAUUUCCGGUGUAGCAGUGAAAUGCGUAGAGAUCGGAAGGAACAUCUGUGGCGAAGGCGACUAUCUGGGCCAACACUGACACUGAGACACGAAAGCGUGGGGAGCAAACAGGAUUAGAUACCCCAGUAGUCCCUGUCUCUUAUAC